This 305-nucleotide ribosomal RNA is filed under the name uncultured bacterium. Its description in RNAcentral is "bacterial SSU rRNA". It matches the Rfam family "Bacterial small subunit ribosomal RNA", at positions 338 to 641 of the family's 1533-position model. The record is from RNAcentral.
CCUACGGGGGGCAGCAGUGAGGAAUAUUGGUCAAUGGCCGGAAGGCUGAACCAGCCAAGCCGCGUGAAGGACGAAGGUGCCAAGCAUUGUAAACUUCUUUUGUCAAGGGACAAAAUCAGGCUCGAGAGCCUGACCGAGGGUACUUGAAGAAAAAGCAUCGGCUAACUCCGUGCCAGCAGCCGCGGUAAUACGGAGGAUGCGAGCGUUAUCCGGAUUUAUUGGGUUUAAAGGGUGCGUAGGCGGAAUGCCAAGUCAGCGGUAAAAUCGCGGGGCUCAACCUCGCUCCGCCGUUGAAACUGGCGUUC